UCUCUGAAGCCCAGUUUGAAGCUAGUAGGGGACAGACCACCAGAGAGUCGAGCACAACAUCUGAGUCCACAGAUAUAAAACUGACGACGUCUCAAAUUGUGAAAAUUGAGAGAAGCUGUAAUAAUCCCCCAACAUCUGACUCAUCAGUCACAGAAUCACAAGUUGGACAAGGGUCAAACAUAGCAAAACAAGAGAGCAAAAGCCCACCUGCUUCACGUGUUACACCUGUAGAAGAGUUACCUGUCAGCCAGAAAGAAGAAAGUAAAGCAAAAUCCACUUGCCAGACUAUGAGAGGAUUACAAACAGUCAAACCCAAAAUCAAUUUAUCACGGAUGUCAAGAACUGUGCAGUCUAAACGUCAAGUCACAAAAGACCCUGUCACACCUAUGCAGCUUGCAGAGACACACUCCAGCCCAACUUCCAGGUCUGAUUCCACUGACGAAGCACAACCAACUUGCAGUACCACCCCUCCUGAAAAACAAAGCCAAAUUAAGAGUACUGGCACAGCUUCAGUGUCGGUACCAUCAUUGGAAUUAUGCUCUUCUCAUAAAACCACCGAUGAAUUAUCUUCAACAGAGAAGCAAAACAUAGAUGUUGGAUGUGGACUAGACUCAAACUCGGAGGGCUCCGGACAAAAUGUGCUUCACAGAAGGCAACGUUUUCCCAAAGUCAAACCUAAACCCAAUUUAGGCUCCUCUCCUCGAACUACACAAACAAAACUGCAGUCAAGUGUUAUCAGUAAACCUUUAGAACAGUGCCAUAUGGACACCUCUUUAACCACAGAACAACAGCCUGUGGACAAUAACAACGCACAAUCAGAACUGGAACUCGCAGAGACAGACUGGCAAGCACUUGACUUCAACACAUUGUUCAUUACGUACAGAACUUAUCAGCUCAACAUUAAGACCUGCAGAAUCAGAUAAGUCACUAGACCGCACAAGUGAUAAGGGUAUGUCCUUUGACGGUGUCGUCAUAGCAUCAUCUUGGGUCGCUGAGAAUCAGUCUGUGCUGACAGACUCAGUCUUUGAAAAUGAGAGGAGUGAAAAACCUGCAGUAGAAGGGGAAUCCACAGGGGACAAAAUGUCAAAUAAUGAUAAGGUGGAGGCUGGACCUGCUUCGCAACAGGAAAAAUCCAUUAAAGCUACAGAGACAAAUACCCAACCAACAGCAGUUUCAGAUGUCCAGUCUUCAAAAGAUGGUUCAACAGAGUCAUCAUUGGAAGAUAUAUGCCCGACUAUUACACAGUCGACACCAGAUUCAAAGGAAAGAACUGAAACUAAUCAAACAGCUGCCCGAAGCACUGAUGACAAUCAGUCGGAGCCAACCGACUCUCCCUCAAGAAAAGCUCCCCAGACUCGUAGAGCCAGGCUUAUUAAACCCAAACCCAGCCUGGGACGCAGCAGACGACCUCUACAACCCCAACAAGUCCAGAAUACAAAACAAGCAGAAGCAGAAAUUGGUACUUGCUCAGGUGUGGAUGGUGUGUCUGAACGUCGACCUGACAUCCAAGAACCAGUAGAGGGAGCUAUUGAACAAUGUAGGGACCAAAUUCCCUCUCCAAAUGUAGCUGGAUCCGCUCCGGGUUGUUUGGCACAAGUACGUGACAGUUGUACUCAGGAUGCAUCAACGUCAAGUACCCAAAGUCGUCCAAGUCUCACAAGAUUUCCAGACAUGCGGCAGGAACCUUCAGAUGCAGAUGAACCGUUCUUCAUCCUCUCUCUGACAGAGAUCCCAGUCUGCUCAUCUGGGGCGGCAGUGGGCAGUGUGCCUGAGCCCCUCCCUUAUCUUCAUGUAACAGAUGCAUCAAUAGAGCAACAGAGUAUUCCUGGAGAGAGUUUGGGAGCAGCAGGAGACAGGCCUCUCUCUAAUGUCCCUGUGCCUGCCAUGGAGGAGAGUGGUGAGACAGGCCUCAUCAAUGUGAAAGACAUUGGGCCGGACCCAGCUGCAUAUAUAGGUUCGAUCGUGGGGAAUCCAGUGGAUCCACAUGAGAGUACUACAGUUCAUCCAUCUAAAGGACAAGAGACAAUAGAGAAUAAUGAUGAGACCCCCCCUACAAAGCAGAGACUAAUGGGCACUAGAAGAAGAGAACCAGCCAAACUGCAGGUUAAGCCCAAUAUUACAAAGAGGAAACAAGCCAGCAAGACCCUCGCUGCAAAGAAAGCUGAGUCCAUCUCCAUCCAAACAAACACCCCCCAGCUCUCAGAGCUUCCUGGGCCUUCUGUGCCGUCAAAAGCCUUCGAUGAUGUUGUCACUGAGCCACAGAAAGGAAGUGGUCAUCAUGUAGAUGUGGAAAAGGAGAAAAGAAAAGGCAAAGGUUCCCUUUCCUUGGUUUCUGAGACAAACAUCGUUGCACCUGCAAGCGAUUCUCCACCUGGCAAAGCAGCUUCCAAGAGCUCUAAGUUCAAAACUCCCCGCGCAGCAGGAAAGAAAACUCCCCCAGCACAUGUAGCCUCAACAUCAUAUGAUGUCGCUCCCACACCUAGCCCGACACAUUCGGCAGAGGACACCCACUCCUCUACCACAUCCUCAACUCAAACGGAGGCUGUCGUCGUAAAGACUUCUGAGCGCAGCCGACCAUGUUCAGACCAAAGUCCGAGCACCUCCCCGUGUCCAGCUGAGGUUUCAGCUUCUCAGCAGAGUGACUGUGUGGAGAGCAGCUCUAUAGAGGAGGAGCCCACCAGUGUGUCUCAGUACUUCUUAAGUGACAUUUUUACAGAAGUUGAAGAGGGAUGAAAGAGAGGCAGGAAGGGUGGCGUUCCCUUUUUACAUUUGUGUUUUGUUAAGUUAUGUCUGUAAAGGUUAAUUUAUAACUAACUUGUUUUUGUUGCUUUUGCUGUCAGUUGUAAUGAAAUGAAGCUACAUGUACUAUACUUUCACAAGCACUUUGAACAUUUUUAAUUUACUGAAAUGUCUUUUUAAAAAGCCAGUAGUUCACAUAAUAAGUAUUGAGUUGUACAAAUUAAUAACUAAAACACUGGUAAAUCACUAGUUUGGUUUAAAGAGGAGGCAGCAUUUCCCCAAUAAUUCAUUAUGUUUCAAGCCUCAGAUUCCUUCAUUUGCUUAUUAAUUAUUAUUAUUAACUACCUGGGAUAUAUUGUACAGAAGCAAACUGGUUUAUGAGUUUUUUGUUUUAAUGCAGGCCACGACUUUGGUCUAAUGAAGAAGAACAUUACUUGACAUCAUGUACAGUUAUACGCUAAAAUGAACGACCCUUUUUUAUAAUGCCUCUUCUGUGUGUUCAUGUGCACAUUUUCAAUUAUCGAUUCUCAUCCUACAAGCAGAGGUUAGUCAAACUUUAUUUAAGGAGAAUGUUCUGCCAGCAAGCUUUCAUUGAGAGGUUUGUUGUAAUGUGUAUAUAGUGUUCAAAAAGGUCCUUGUACAGAUUCACAGCAUUCUCAACAUGUUUGAUACUUGAAACAAAAACACAUCAUGUGUUAUCUUUAACUGUUUUAUUAGUUCAUUAACAGUAAAACGUUGAAUUCUGUAAGAUCUGAAUAAAACACAUUCUUCCUCCACAACUUGACUCUUUCUUUCAUCUCAGUUCCCUUUUGGUACAGAUUC
Molecule: long non-coding RNA, 3561 nt
Organism: Cottoperca gobio
Lineage: Eukaryota; Metazoa; Chordata; Actinopteri; Perciformes; Bovichtidae
Source: Ensembl